GACGGACGCUGGCGGCGUGCUUAACACAUGCAAGUCGAACGGAAAGGCCCUGCUUUUGUGGGGUGCUCGAGUGGCGAACGGGUGAGUAACACGUGAGUAACCUGCCCUUGACUUUGGGAUAACUUCAGGAAACUGGGGCUAAUACCGGAUAGGAGCUCCUGCUGCAUGGUGGGGGUUGGAAAGUUUCGGCGGUUGGGGAUGGACUCGCGGCUUAUCAGCUUGUUGGUAGGGUAGUGGCUUACCAAGGCUUUGACGGGUAGCCGGCCUGAGAGGGUGACCGGCCACAUUGGGACUGAGAUACGGCCCAGACUCCUACGGGAGGCAGCAGUGGGGAAUAUUGCACAAUGGGCGGAAGCCUGAUGCAGCAACGCCGCGUGCGGGAUGACGGCCUUCGGGUUGUAAACCGCUUUCGCCUGUGACGAAGCGUGAGUGACGGUAAUGGGUAAAGAAGCACCGGCUAACUACGUG
Molecule: ribosomal RNA, 468 nt
Filed under: uncultured bacterium
Lineage: Bacteria
Description: partial 16S ribosomal RNA
Rfam family: Bacterial small subunit ribosomal RNA
Source: RNAcentral